GGCAUUUGUACAAGCAUAACUUUUGGAAUGGUAGUGUUGAUCUUCCAAAGCAAACCUUAGAAGCACCUACGAUGAUGAUCGUCCACUGAAGACAUGUAUUACUCUAGGUAAAUCCUGUACUGGUCGUUGACAGGAGAGACGUUGGGUUUAUAAGGAGUGAUCCACCUCAAAUAUCACCAACGCAUUUUGGACGCAUUGGUUGUGGAUCCCAUUAGAACAUUACAGUUAAGCAAAUGCUAGCUGGGAAUAGUAUCAGGAAAGGGGGGCUCCUGGGAAGACUCUACUCGGUUUUACAGGGUGGAGAAGUCCGGAUGAGAGGUGCGUAGAAGUUAGAACCAGACUACAAUCGGAGAAGGUGGUGGAUCCAUUUUCAAGACAAAAAAAUGCAAUUAUAUAUUUAUAUUAUAUAUAUGUAUAUAUUAUAAACAACCCAAAAGAAAAACCUAUUUACCUACUAAAUUCUGAACGGGCCAGGUCUGCCGAAGACCCAAAAUUUAAACCCACUAAAAGUGAUUAUUCACUAGGAUGUAGGGCGCUUAAAAACAACCAACAAAAUCGACAUUUCAGGUUUUUUGGGUGACGAUUAGUCAAUCGACGAACGACAUCAUCAAUUCAUCACAUCAACGUUCGACAACAAUCUUGCAUUCUUGCUUACAACGGUCGACGUUUCAGGUUUGAUACCAGCCUACAAUGAAUUUCAAUUCACUGAUCAGGUAUGGAAUUGUGAAUUCGUACGUAAAAUUUAGAUUUUUGAUGCAUUGCUUGAUAAAUAAUGGUUUCUUCCAUCAUUGAUUGUGUGCUUUGAAUGUUUAAAAGAUUGAAAGUUAAAAAUUUGAUGUUUAGAUUUAGAAUUAGAUGUUUAAACUUUAAGUAUGGUUUGGUUGUGUAUUGAUUUUGAUUAAAACUUUGUUGUUUAGACUUUUGGAAGAAACUUACAUGUUUUAAACUUUGAAUUCUUUUAUCUAGAAAUCAUGCCUUACAGUCCCUAAUACAAAUAUCUAUUAUGUAG
Molecule: long non-coding RNA, 1009 nt
Filed under: Helianthus annuus (common sunflower)
Lineage: Eukaryota; Viridiplantae; Streptophyta; Magnoliopsida; Asterales; Asteraceae
Description: hypothetical non coding rna
Source: RNAcentral